AGAGUUUGAUCCUGGCUCAGGACGAACGUUGGCGGCGUGCUUAACACAUGCAAGUCGAGCGGGGCUUAGUUGAAAGUUUACUUUUUACUGAGUCUAGCGGCGGUGAGUAACGCGUGGAUAAUCUGCCUGUAAGACAGGGAUAACGCCGGGAAACCGGUGCUAAUACCGGAUAACCUCUUUGAAUCGCAUGAUUUAAAGAGAAAAGGUGGCCUCUUUACAAUGCUGCCACUUACAGAUGAAUCCGCGUCCCAUUAGCCAGUUGGUGGGGUAAUGGCCUACCAAAGCGACGAUGGGUAGCCGGCCUGAGAGGGUGACCGGCCACACUGGAACUGAGAUACGGUCCAGACUCCUACGGGAGGCAGCAGUGGGGAAUCUUCCGCAAUGGGCGAAAGCCUGACGGAGCAACGCCGCGUGAGCGAAGAAGGUCUUCGGAUUGUAAAGCUCUGUCCUUGGUGAAGAAAAAUGACGGUACAAUAAGAGGAAGCCCCGGCUAACUACGUGCCAGCAGCCGCGGUAAUACGUAGGGGGCGAGCGUUGUCCGGAUUUACUGGGCGUAAAGGGUGAGUAGGCGGUAAUAUGUGUCUUUGGUGAAAGGCUACGGCUUAACCGUAGUAAGCCUUAGGAACUGUAAGUCUUGAGUGCAGGAGAGGAAAGUGGAAUUCCUAGUGUAGCGGUGAAAUGCGUAGAUAUUAGGAGGAACACCAGUGGCGAAGGCGACUUACUGGACUGUAACUGACGCUGAGUCACGAAAGCGUGGGUAGCAAACAGGAUUAGAUACCCUGGUAGUCCACGCUGUAAACGAUGAGUGCUAGGUGUUGGGUAGCGAUAAAUUCAGUGCUGCAGUUAACGCAAUAAGUAUUCCGCCUGGGGAGUAUGCACGCAAGUGUGAAACUCAAAGGAAUUGACGGGGACCCGCACAAGCGGCGGAGCAUGUGGUUUAAUUCGAAGCAACGCGAAGAACCUUACCAGGUCUUGACAUCUCUCUGAUCGACUCUUAGAUGUGUCCUCCCCUUCGGGGGCAAGGGAGACAGGUGGUGCAUGGUUGUCGUCAGCUCGUGUCGUGAGAUGUUGGGUUAAGUCCCGCAACGAGCGCAACCCUUAUCAUUAGUUGCCAGCGAGUAAUGUUGGGGACUCUAAUGAGACUGCCGGGGAUAACUCGGAGGAAGGUGGGGACGACGUCAAAUCAUCAUGCCCCUUAUGUCUUGGGCUACACACGUGCUACAAUGGCCGGUACAAAGGGCUGCAAACCCGCAAGGGGGAGCGAAUCCCAUAAAGCCGGUCUCAGUUCGGAUCGUGGGCUGCAACCCGCCCACGUGAAGCCGGAGUUGCUAGUAAUCGCGAAUCAGCAUGUCGCGGUGAAUGCGUUCCCGGGUCUUGUACACACCGCCCGCCACACCAUGGGAGUUGGGAGCGCCCGAAGCCAGUGAGCUAACCGCAAGGAGGCAGCUGUCGAAGGCGAGAUCAAUGACUGGGGUGAAGUCGUAACAAGGUAACC
Molecule: ribosomal RNA, 1495 nt
Filed under: uncultured bacterium
Lineage: Bacteria
Description: bacterial SSU rRNA
Rfam family: Bacterial small subunit ribosomal RNA
Source: RNAcentral